UGGGGAAUAUUGGACAAUGGGCGCAAGCCUGAUCCAGCCAUGCCGCGUGAGUGAUGAAGGCCUUAGGGUUGUAAAGCUCUUUCACUGGGGAAGAUAAUGACGGUACCCAGAGAAGAAGCCCCGGCUAACUUCGUGCCAGCAGCCGCGGUAAUACGAAGGGGGCUAGCGUUGUUCGGAAUCACUGGGCGUAAAGCGCACGUAGGCGGACUUUUAAGUCAGGGGUGAAAUCCCAAGGCUCAACCUUGCAGCUGCCCUUGAUACUGGAAGUCUUGAGUUCGGGAGAGGUGAGUGGAACUGCGAGUGUAGAGGUGAAAUUCGUAGAUAUUCGCAAGAACACCAGUGGCGAAGGCGGCUCACUGGCCCGAUACUGACGCUGAGGUGCGAAAGCGUGGGGAGCAAA
This 400-nucleotide ribosomal RNA is filed under the name uncultured bacterium. Its description in RNAcentral is "bacterial SSU rRNA". It matches the Rfam family "Bacterial small subunit ribosomal RNA", at positions 355 to 772 of the family's 1533-position model. The record is from RNAcentral.